This 59-nucleotide non-coding RNA is filed under the name Pteridomonas danica. The record is from RNAcentral. Lineage: Eukaryota; Dictyochophyceae; Pedinellales.
CGCAGCAAAGUUACGAAAUGCUGAUGGCUUUUUUGGUAAAUCUGAUCCUUAUGCCAAAC